This 358-nucleotide unclassified non-coding RNA is filed under the name soil metagenome. RNAcentral describes it as "partial contains 5.8S ribosomal RNA, internal transcribed spacer 2, and large subunit ribosomal RNA". The stretch from base 1 to 120 matches the Rfam family "5.8S ribosomal RNA", at positions 35 to 154 of the family's 154-position model. The record is from RNAcentral.
GAUGAAGAACGUAGCGAAAUGCGAUAAGUAAUGUGAAUUGCAGAAUUCAGUGAAUCAUCGAAUCUUUGAACGCACAUUGCGCCCGUCAGUAUUCUGGCGGGCAUGCCUGUUCGAGCGUCAUUACGCCCCUCAAGUCCCCUGUGGACUUGGUGUUGGGGAUCGGCGAGGCUGGUUUUCCAGCACAGCCGUCCCUUAAAUUAAUUGGCGGUCUCGCCGUGGCCCUCCUCUGCGCAGUAGUAAAACACUCGCAACAGGAGCCCGGCGCGGUCCACUGCCGUAAAACCCCACAACUUUUUAUAGUUGACCUCGAAUCAGGUAGGACUACCCGCUGAACUUAAGCAUAUCAAUAAGCGGAGGA